GGGCACCUACGGGACGCAGCAGUAGGGAAUCUUCCACAAUGGGCGAAAGCCUGAUGGAGCAACGCCGCGUGGGUGAAGAAGGUCUUCGGAUCGUAAAACCCUGUUGUUAGAGAAGAAAGUGCGUGAGAGUAACUGUUCACGUUUCGACGGUAUCUAACCAGAAAGACACGGCUAACUACGUGCGAGCAGCCGCGGUAAUACGGAGGGGGCAAGCGUUAUCCGGAUUUAUUGGGCG
This 235-nucleotide ribosomal RNA is filed under the name uncultured bacterium. RNAcentral describes it as "partial 16S ribosomal RNA". It matches the Rfam family "Bacterial small subunit ribosomal RNA", at positions 333 to 560 of the family's 1533-position model. The record is from RNAcentral.